CCUACUUAUCUUAGUGAUGUGAGGAGAUGAGACAUGAUUUUAAGCAAAAUUAUCAUAAGGAUGAUUUAAGAACUAUUUGCUUAAAAUCAGAAUGUCGAUUAAACAAUUACAUAAGGUCAUCAGGGCGAAAAAUGUUCACAUAGUCUACUUUAUGAGCAAGAUGUGAGAUAAUGUAGAUCAAAGAACUCAAAUUUAGAUACUUAUGGUGUCUAAAUAUCAUCUCUACAAUAUUCUUUAUGAGAUAAAGACAUAUGCUUCUUGGGAAAAGGGAGAAAAUGUUGUAGCACAUAUUUCAUACCAUGUGUGAGACCCAGAGCUUUAUGAUAGCUCAAGAUUUUGUACCCUUAGAGACUCUGAUCAGAUACUUGAGACUUAGCAUGAUGUUAGCUAUCUUGGUGUGUUUCCAAAAGACCAUGAAUACAGAUACGGUCUAGCAGAGCAUAACUAGGAAAGUAGUCACACUAAUAUUAAGGGAAUAGUGAGAAUAGGAAGACCAUUGAUGGAAUCUCAUUUAUUUGUAUUUAUUGGUGCACCAAUUAUGACAUGAGUUAUGAUUGGGAAUACAAGAAAUAAUGAUAUAUGAGAUUUUGAGACUAUAUUAGUUCUCACAGUAUGCUGGUCACACGGUCUACUUCCCUGUAUAAAUGAUUAAGGAGAUGGGUUGAGAAUAUGCUUCUCAGGCUAGAUCAGCAGUCCCAUUAUGUGUGAGUGGGAGAUGUAGGAAAUAUUGGUUCCACGCAUAAGGGGUGCUCUUAGGCCCAAUAGGGUUAUUAGUUAACCCUAAUAUUUCCUAUAUAAGUACACUUAGUGUGGACAUUAAAAAUAGACUUUCUAUAGUAUUUUUCUCUAUGCUCUUUCUCUCGCUGAAUCAAACUAGGGUUUAGACAGUGGAAUUGGGAGUUGCUCCAAUACACCGUGACAACCACCGCCGACCUGUAAUUCCAGCCACAGUUUAUCCGUUUUUCCUUUCGCGAACCAGUAAGUUCUUGUUUUACAGUUUACGCGCUAUCUAAUGUGUUUAGAUUAACGUGUUAUUUUAAAAACACAUGAUACUUAAACUCAAUUAAAUAUUAACAGUAAUAAAAUACAGGGAAUUAGUAUACCGUCCACUUAAAUCCCAAAAUUAUACAAGACUCUCAGUAGCAUAAAUUCAGCUGGCUUUUAACAUUACACAAACUGUAGGACAAUCAAAUUCAACUCAAAUUCUGGCUAACUCAAUAGACAAUUUAUAUGAUAUUUCAACCUUAUAUGAGCCUAUUUCAAUGCAUAUAAUAACAAAUAAAACUUUAUGAGACUAUAAAGUAAACGAUUCUGAAUUUAAACAACAAUUUCGACUUAAACAUGCUUAUACACAAAUCAGGGGUAAUUCAGUGUAUGGCUCGACCCUUAAAGUAAUAACCUAAAGCAAUUCCUUUGUCUAAAAUGACUGCAUACUGACUAUCAGCUUGGAAAACAAAUCAACUGCCCAUUUCACUUAAAUAAAGUACUACAUGACUUUAAAUAGCACACUAUACUUACUGGUAUGUUUUCCAAUUGAAAGUUUCUAGUCUCCAGCCUAUACUUGUCAUUUUUAGCAAGUUCAUGCAGAAAUCAACACCAAAACAAAUAUUGUUUUCAGCAAAACUAAAACAGGUCAAAAACACAGGUAAAUCGCUUGAACCUUCUGCUGCAGUAAUCUUAAAAGUCCAUUCAUACAAAUACAUGUUCAACUCAUUUAAAUUAAGCGACUAAAGCUAAUGAUUUGUCCAUUAUUACAAAUAGAGCUUAAAACUAGAAUAGAAAAGAACAAACAUAAUGAAAAAAAUUAAGCUAAUUAGAGAGCCUAAUGAUUUCAGGAAUGUAGAAAAUAACAUUUAACAGACUGGUAUGCCAUGGGUUUUUAGCUUAAUCAAAUACUUCAUGCUCUUCCAUUCACAUGUCAAGAAAGUGUAAUGAAUACCUGGAAGUUCAUAUAGAAACAAGGAGAAAGAAGAGUUAGCAAAAGCAACAGAAUCAGCUCAACCAAACCAGCCAAAUCCCAACUUCUUUCAAACCAAGUUAAACCCAAAUGAACACACUUCUUGGAGCCUAUUUUUUUUAGAAAAACUUCUGAUCACUAAUGAAGACAAGGAACAAAACAAGCAGAUUUUUGCUAUUCAAAUGCAAAUAGCUUUCAGUAGCUUCAGGGUAUAAAGAACUUCAGUAGUUUAUGAACACCCCCCCACCCCCCCCUUUUUAGUCUCUCCUUGUGUAUUUCUUUAGCCGUUUCUAAAAUUUUUUUGGUUCUGAUCUCUAUUUAAAUUCUCUCUAUGGUCUGAUCUAUAUAGGACGUCCUUAAGGCAGCAGAAAUGAAUUUUCUAUUCACAAAAGCCUCUUCCCCAAUUUUUAAUUAAUUCCACUCAAAUUCUUCUCUUUACAUUAUUCAGUAGUGCACUCCGAACCCCACCACUGUAGAAACUUCCUACUUAGUUAGGCAAGUCUCCACUUACUCAAUCUCGCUAAGCUAACAUUUGAAGAUUUAAUAAUUACCAAGAUAGGCCUUUAAGCCAAUAUGCUUUCUACCUCUUGGGUUUCUGCAUUAGCAGACUCUAACACCUUUGGGCUUCUUGCACUAGCAAGCCCAGACUACCAACGACUCACAAGGGGUUCCGAAUCCGUUCUUUCAUUUUAGAGACAAACAAGUGAAAAGGCACAAAGCAAAAGCGAAUGAAAUUAAUUAUAUGCUAACUAAAAUUAUUCAAUUAAUCAAUCUCUAAAUUAAAAGGCCUAUCAUGCAACAAAUACGGAUUUGGACAAGAAAAUAAGAGAGAAAGAGGAAUACCAGGAGAUGAUGAAGAUAGAACAUGCAAAACAAAAAAGAAUAAUGAAAAUGGAACUACUAACCACAGCAGAUGAAUAAAAGUGAAUCGAUUGGCUAACUUAACCUACUUCGUUAAGGGUAACUCACCCUAAUGAACUCCCUUAUACAAGGGUGCUCUGUCAGGGCGAGCUUCGACCCCUAACGAGCAAAACGCACUUCAACUCGGCUCCAAUUUUGAAAUAUGGAUUGAGCCCUAGGUUCCAAAUUCGGUAAACCCUAGGGUUCAUUUGGGCAAAUUGUUCGGAGUUUUGAGUUUGGGAGACAUAGUGACUGUAGGGUAAAGAGAUCAACGGCUUAGACCUUUCAUUUUAUGGAAUGACGCCGUU
Molecule: long non-coding RNA, 3165 nt
Filed under: Nicotiana benthamiana
Lineage: Eukaryota; Viridiplantae; Streptophyta; Magnoliopsida; Solanales; Solanaceae
Description: long non-coding RNA (NBEN_LNC039188)
Source: RNAcentral